CCUUAUGUUGUCUAGGGUUUCUUCUCCAAAAAAACCCAUUAUCGUUCCUAAACACUAUUCUUUGAUGUCUUGUGUUCUAGUUUUCUAUGUCACUUUCUUCCUUUGUUAGGCAAAGAGUAUGCUCGUGCCUAUUUGUGAAGCUGGUUGUUUGUUUGAGUUUUGGAUCAAAUAUUUCUUUGAAGAGUACCUCAAUUUCUUUCCACUUAUGGUUGGGUUGUCCAGAGCCUUAGUUCUUUAAUUCUUGAAAUAUCCAAAAUGGGUUCAACAAUGGUGGAAGUGGCAAAAAUUGAUGGCAGAGGCAAUUUCAAUAAAUUGAGGAAAAAGUUAAAGUUGUUUGGGAUCUACAGAUGUGUUCUAAAGCGCUUCGUGGUAAUAAGGACUUACUCUUUACCUUAUCUCUUGAUGAAAAAGUUGAUGUAUUUGAGACUGGCCAUAGUUUGUUGAUUUUUCAGCUUAAGUAAGUUGAUGAUGAAAUUACAAAUGCUAGUGUAUGACUUAAAUUGGAGUCUUUAUUCACAACUAAAUUGUUGUCUAAUAAAAUACUCUUG
This is an RNA transcript of Gastrolobium bilobum, 548 nucleotides long. RefSeq lists it as uncharacterized. NCBI's taxonomy places the organism in Eukaryota, Viridiplantae, Streptophyta, Magnoliopsida, Fabales, Fabaceae. The transcript is spliced from 2 exons. The record is from RefSeq and is a predicted model, not a curated record.